CCUACGGGAGGCAGCAGUGAGGAAUAUUGGUCAAUGGGCGCGAGCCUGAACCAGCCAAGUAGCGUGAAGGAAGACUGCCCUACGGGUUGUAAACUUCUUUUAUAAAGGAAUAAAGUGAGGCACGUGUGCCCUUUUGGAUGUACUUUAUGAAUAAGGAUCGGCUAACGCCGUGCCAGCAGCCGCGGUAAUACGGAGGAUCCGAGCGUUAUCCGGAUUUAUUGGGUUUAAAGGGAGCGUAGAUGGGUUGAUAAGUCAGUUGUGAAAGUUUGCGGCUCAACCGUAGAAUUGCAUUUGAUACUGGCAGUCUUGAGUACAGUAGAGGUAGGCGGAAUUCGUGGUGUAGCGGUGAAAUGCUUAGAUAUCACGAAGAACACCGAUUGCGAAGGCAGCUUACUAGACUGCCACUGACGUUGAUGCUCGAAAGUGUGGGUAUCAAACAGGAUUAGAUACCCUAGUAGUC
This 460-nucleotide ribosomal RNA is filed under the name uncultured bacterium. RNAcentral describes it as "partial 16S ribosomal RNA". It matches the Rfam family "Bacterial small subunit ribosomal RNA", at positions 338 to 795 of the family's 1533-position model. The record is from RNAcentral.